This 371-nucleotide ribosomal RNA is filed under the name Bacillus sp. GR1-17. RNAcentral's name for it is "bacterial SSU rRNA". It matches the Rfam family "Bacterial small subunit ribosomal RNA", at positions 116 to 483 of the family's 1533-position model. Lineage: Bacteria; Bacillati; Bacillota; Bacilli; Caryophanales; Bacillaceae. The record is from RNAcentral.
CGUGGGCAACGCGCCUGUAAGACUGGGAUCACUUCGGCAAACCGAAGCUAAUACCGGAUAGGAUCUUCUCCUUCAUGGGAGAUGAUUGAAAGAUGGUUUCGGCUAUCACUUACAGAUGGGCCCGCGGUGCAUUAGCUAGUUGGUGAGGUAACGGCUCACCAAGGCAACGAUGCAUAGCCGACCUGAGAGGGUGAUCGGCCACACUGGGACUGAGACACGGCCCAGACUCCUACGGGAGGCAGCAGUAGGGAAUCUUCCGCAAUGGACGAAAGUCUGACGGAGCAACGCCGCGUGAGUGAUGAAGGCUUUCGGGUCGUAAAACUCUGUUGUUAGGGAAGAACAAGUACGAGAGUAACCUGCUCGUACCUGAC